ACGGAAGGCAGCAGUAGGGAAUUUUCGGCAAUGGGCGCAAGCCUGACCGAGCAAUGCCGCGUGAACGAAGAAGUAUUUCGGUAUGUAAAGUUCUUUUAUCAGGGACGAAAAAAUCAAAAUUGACUGUACCUGAUGAAUAAGCUCCGGCUAACUACGUGCCAGCAGCCGCGGUAAUACGUAGGGAGCGAGCGUUAUCCGGAAUUAUUGGGCGUAAAGGGUGCGUAGACGGCAAUAAAAGUCAGUUGUAAAAAUGCUAAGCUCAACUUAGUAGGGCAACUGAUACUAUAUAGCUAGAGUAUGUCAGAGGCAAGUGGAACUCCAUGUGUAGCGGUAAAAUGCGUAAAUAUAUGGAAGAACACCAGUGGCGAAGGCGGCUUGCUGGGACAAUACUGACGUUGAGGCACGAAAGCGUGGGGAGCAAACAGGAUUAGAUACCCUGGUA
RNAcentral lists this ribosomal RNA (442 nucleotides) under uncultured Anaeroplasma sp. RNAcentral describes it as "bacterial SSU rRNA". It matches the Rfam family "Bacterial small subunit ribosomal RNA", at positions 341 to 792 of the family's 1533-position model. Lineage: Bacteria; Bacillati; Mycoplasmatota; Mollicutes; Anaeroplasmatales; Anaeroplasmataceae. The record is from RNAcentral.